RNAcentral lists this ribosomal RNA (269 nucleotides) under uncultured prokaryote. RNAcentral's name for it is "partial 16S ribosomal RNA". It matches the Rfam family "Bacterial small subunit ribosomal RNA", at positions 524 to 792 of the family's 1533-position model. The record is from RNAcentral.
UACGGAGGGUGCGAGCGUUAAUCGGAAUUACUGGGCGUAAAGCGUGCGUAGGCGGCUUUGCAAGUCAGUAGUGGAAGUCCAUUUUUCAAGGAUGGAAGUGCUACAGAAACUGCGGAGCUUGAGUGCAGGAGAGGUUAUCGGAAUUCCCGGUGUAGCGGUGAAAUGCGUAGAGAUCGGGAGGAACACCAGUGGCGAAGGCGGGUAACUGGACUGCAACUGACGCUGAGGCGCGAAAGUGUGGGGAGCAAACAGGAUUAGAUACCACCGUA